This 1402-nucleotide ribosomal RNA is filed under the name human gut metagenome. RNAcentral describes it as "bacterial LSU rRNA". It matches the Rfam family "Bacterial large subunit ribosomal RNA", at positions 1098 to 2518 of the family's 2925-position model. The record is from RNAcentral.
AGGUUGGCUCAGAAGCAGCCAUCCUUUAAAGAGUGCGUAACAGCUCACUAGUCGAAUGACUCUGCGCCGAUAAUUUACCGGGGCUAAGCAUACUACCGAAGCUAUGGAUCCCAAGGGAUGGUAGGGGAGCGUUCCAUGAACGGAGAAGUACGACCGAAAGGACGUGUGGAGAUCAUGGAAGAGAGAAUGCCGGUGUGAGUAGCGGAACGUGGGUGAGAAUCCCACGCACCGAAAACCCAAGGUUUCCAGAGGAAGGUUCGUCCGCUCUGGGUAAGUCGGGACCUAAGGCGAGGCCGAAAGGCGUAGUCGAUGGACAACAGGUAGAGAUUCCUGUACCCGUAUAUAUGUGAAGGAAUGACGGAGAGAGGAAGCUGCAGCCAGCGGCUGGAAGAGCUGGUGCAAGCGAGAUAUCGGGAUGGCAGGCAAAUCCACCAUCCGAAACGAGAAGGCGUGAAGCGUACGGAAAGCUACGGCGAGUACGGAAGGCAGUGGAGGAACUUCCAAGAAAAGUUUCUAACGUUAAGUAUAUAUGGCCCGUACCGAAAAUGGACACACAUGGGUGAGGAGAGAAUCCUAAGGUGAGCGAGAGAACUAUAGCUAAGGAACUCUGCAAAAUGACUCCGUAACUUAGGGAGAAGGAGUGCUCAUAGAGAUAUGAGCCGCAGUGAAACGGCCCAAGCGACUGUUUACCAAAAACACAGCUCUCUGCUAAGCCGCAAGGCGAAGUAUAGGGGGUGACGCCUGCCCGGUGCUGGAAGGUUAAGGGGAGGGGUUAACGCAAGUGAAGCCCUGAACUGAAGCCCCAGUAAACGGCGGCCGUAACAAUAACGGUCCUAAGGUAGCGAAAUUCCUUGUCAGGUAAGUUCUGACCCGCACGAAAGGCGUAACGAUUUGGGCGCUGUCUCAGCUGUAGACUCGGUGAAGUCUUAGUACCUGUGAAGAUGCAGGUUACCCGCGACUAGACGGAAAGACCCCAUGGAGCUUCACUGCAGGUUGAUAUUGGGAUUUGAUGCAGCAUGUACAGGAUAGGUAGGAGGCAAAGAGAUGGAUACGCCAGUAUUCAAGGAGCCGCUGUUGGGAUACUACCCCUGUUGUAUUGGAUUUCUAACCGGACGACGUAGAGCCGUUGACGGGACAGUGUCAGUCGGGCAGUUUGACUGGGGCGGUCGCCUCCCAAAGAGUAACGGAGGCGCCCAAAGAUACCCUCAGCUUGGAUGGAAACCAAGCGCAGAGUGCAAAGGCAAAAGGGUGUUUGACUGCGAGACCCACAAGUCGAGCAGGGACGAAAGUCGGGCUUAGUGAUCCGGCGGUGCUGAAUGGAAAGGCCGUCGCUCAACGGAUAAAAGCUACCCUGGGGAUAACAGGCUGAUCUCCCCCAAGAGUCCACAUCGACGGGGAGGUU